RNAcentral lists this ribosomal RNA (294 nucleotides) under uncultured bacterium. RNAcentral describes it as "partial 16S ribosomal RNA". It matches the Rfam family "Bacterial small subunit ribosomal RNA", at positions 789 to 1084 of the family's 1533-position model. The record is from RNAcentral.
GGUAGUCCCAGCUGUAAACGAUGAGUACUAGGUGUCGGGGGUAUCGACCCCCUCGGUGCCGCAGCUAACGCGCUAAGUACUCCGCCUGGGGACUACGGCCGCAAGGCUAAAACUCAAAGGAAUUGACGGGGCCCGCACAAGCAGCGGAGCGUGUGGUUUAAUUCGACGCAACGCGAAGAACCUUACCUGGGUUUGACAUGCACAGGACGCCAGUAGAGAUAUUGGUUCCCUUGUGGCCUGUGUGCAGGUGGUGCAUGGCUGUCGUCAGCUCGUGCCGUGAGGUGUCCUGUUAAG